This 183-nucleotide ribosomal RNA is filed under the name uncultured bacterium. Its description in RNAcentral is "partial 16S ribosomal RNA". It matches the Rfam family "Bacterial small subunit ribosomal RNA", at positions 1318 to 1500 of the family's 1533-position model. The record is from RNAcentral.
ACAUGAAGCCGGAAUCGCUAGUAAUCGCGGAUCAGAAUGCCGCGGUGAAUACGUUCCCGGGUCUUGUACACACCGCCCGUCACGCCAUGGGAGCCGGUAAUGCCCGAAGUCUGUGGCCCAACCGAAAGGAAGGAGCAGCCGAAGGCAGGCCCGGUGACUGGGGUGAAGUCGUAACAAGGUAGC